ACCCUUAUGGUGUAGUGGUAGUACACUUCACUCUUAUGGAUCAGGUAACUUAUACAUAGUCCAUGCGGCAAGUUGUCUGGUUUAGUGUCAAAGAGGUCAGGGGUUUAAUUCCUCCUGGGGGCA
This is a non-coding RNA of Lasiosphaeria hispida, 123 nucleotides long. Lineage: Eukaryota; Fungi; Ascomycota; Sordariomycetes; Sordariales; Lasiosphaeriaceae. The record is from the annotation of a GenBank genome assembly.